GGUUAAGCGACUAAGCGUACACGGUGGAUGCCCUGGCAGUCAGAGGCGAUGAAGGACGUKCUAAUCUGCGAAAAGCGCCGGCGAGGUGAUAUGAACCCUUGACCCGGCGAUGUCCGAAUGGGGAAACCCAGUGCAAUYCGUUGCACUAUCGUUAACUGAAUACAUAGGUUAACGAGGCGAACCGGGGGAACUGAAACAUCUAAGUACCCCGAGGAAAAGAAAUCAACCGAGAUUCCCCCAGUAGCGGCGAGCGAACGGGGAGCAGCCCGGAGUCUGAAUCAGCUUGUGUGUUAGUGGAACGGUCUGGAAAGUCCGACGGUACAGGGUGAUAGUCCCGUACACGAAARYRCACAUGCUGUGAACUCGAAGAGUAGGGCGGGACACGUGGUAUCCUGUCUGAAUAUGGGGGGACCAUCCUCCAAGGCUAAAUACUCCUGACUGACCGAUAGUGAACCAGUACCGUGAGGGAAAGGCGAAAAGAACCCCGGCGAGGGGAGUGAAAAAGAACCUGAAACCGUGUACGUACAAGCAGUGGGAGCCUCUUUAUGGGGUGACUGCGUACCUUUUGUAUAAUGGGUCAGCGACUUAUAUUCUGUAGCAAGGUUAACCGUAUAGGGGAGCCGAAGGGAAACCGAGUCUUAACUGGGCGUUAAGUUGCAGGGUAUAGACCCGAAACCCGGUGAUCUAGCCAUGGGCAGGUUGAAGGUUGGGUAACACUAACUGGAGGACCGAACCGACUAAUGUUGAAAAAUUAGCGGAUGACCUGUGGCUGGGGGUGAAAGGCCAAUCAAACCGGGAGAUAGCUGGUUCUCCCCGAAAGCUAUUUAGGUAGCGCCUCGUGAACUCAUCUUCGGGGGUAGAGCACUGUUUCGGCUAGGGGGCCAUCCCGGCUUACCAACCCGAUGCAAACUACGAAUACCGAAGAAUGUUAUCACGGGAGACACACGGCGGGUGCUAACGUCCGUCGUGAAGAGGGAAACAACCCAGACCGCCAGCUAAGGUCCCAAAGUCAUGGUUAAGUGGGAAACGAUGUGGGAAGGCACAGACAGCCAGGAUGUUGGCUUAGAAGCAGCCAUCAUUUAAAGAAAGCGUAAUAGCUCACUGGUCGAGUCGGCCUGCGCGGAAGAUGUAACGGGGCUAAACCAUGCACCGAAGCUGCGGCAGCGACACUAUGUGUUGUUGGGUAGGGGAGCGUUCUGUAAGCCGUUGAAGGUGUGCUGUGAGGCAUGCUGGAGGUAUCAGAAGUGCGAAUGCUGACAUAAGUAACGAUAAAGCGGGUGAAAAGCCCGCUCGCCGGAAGACCAAGGGUUCCUGUCCAACGUUAAUCGGGGCAGGGUGAGUCGACCCCUAAGGCGAGGCCGAAAGGCGUAGUCGAUGGGAAACAGGUUAAUAUUCCUGUACUUGGUGUUACUGCGAAGGGGGGACGGAGAAGGCUAUGUCAGCCGGGCGACGGUUGUCCCGGUUUAAGCAUGUAGGCGGAGGUUCCAGGUAAAUCCGGUACCUUUUAACGCUGAGGUGUGAUGACGAGGCACUACGGUGCUGAAGUGAUAAAUGCCCUGCUUCCAGGAAAAGCCUCUAAGCAUCAGGUAACACGAAAUCGUACCCCAAACCGACACAGGUGGUCAGGUAGAGAAUACCAAGGCGCUUGAGAGAACUCGGGUGAAGGAACUAGGCAAAAUGGUGCCGUAACUUCGGGAGAAGGCACGCUGAUGUGUAGGUGAAGUCCCUGCGGACGGAGCUGAAAUCAGUCGAAGAUACCAGCUGGCUGCAACUGUUUAUUAAAAACACAGCACUGUGCAAACACGAAAGUGGACGUAUACGGUGUGACGCCUGCCCGGUGCCGGAAGGUUAAUUGAUGGGGUUAGCUGUAAGGCGAAGCUCUUGAUCGAAGCCCCGGUAAACGGCGGCCGUAACUAUAACGGUCCUAAGGUAGCGAAAUUCCUUGUCGGGUAAGUUCCGACCUGCACGAAUGGCGUAAUGAUGGCCAGGCUGUCUCCACCCGAGACUCAGUGAAAUUGAACUCGCUGUGAAGAUGCAGUGUACCCGCGGCAAGACGGAAAGACCCCGUGAACCUUUACUAUAGCUUGACACUGAACACUGGUCCUUGAUGUGUAGGAUAGGUGGGA
RNAcentral lists this ribosomal RNA (2126 nucleotides) under Enterobacter hormaechei. RNAcentral describes it as "partial 23S ribosomal RNA". The record is from RNAcentral. Lineage: Bacteria; Pseudomonadati; Pseudomonadota; Gammaproteobacteria; Enterobacterales; Enterobacteriaceae.